RNAcentral lists this ribosomal RNA (454 nucleotides) under Streptococcus mitis. RNAcentral's name for it is "bacterial SSU rRNA". It matches the Rfam family "Bacterial small subunit ribosomal RNA", at positions 28 to 468 of the family's 1533-position model. Lineage: Bacteria; Bacillati; Bacillota; Bacilli; Lactobacillales; Streptococcaceae. The record is from RNAcentral.
GACGAACGCUGGCGGCGUGCCUAAUACAUGCAAGUAGAACGCUGAAGGAGGAGCUUGCUUCUCUAGAUGAGUUGCGAACGGGUGAGUAACGCGUAGGUAACCUGCCUGGUAGCGGGGGAUAACUAUUGGAAACGAUAGCUAAUACCGCAUAAUAGUAGAUGUUGCAUGACAUUUGCUUAAAAGGUGCAAUUGCAUCACUACCAGAUGGACCUGCGUUGUAUUAGCUAGUUGGUGGGGUAACGGCUCACCAAGGCGACGAUACAUAGCCGACCUGAGAGGGUGAUCGGCCACACUGGGACUGAGACACGGCCCAGACUCCUACGGGAGGCAGCAGUAGGGAAUCUUCGGCAAUGGACGGAAGUCUGACCGAGCAACGCCGCGUGAGUGAAGAAGGUUUUCGGAUCGUAAAGCUCUGUUGUAAGAGAAGAACGAGUGUGAGAGUGGAAAGUUCACA